ACCCGCUGAGUUUAAGCAUAUCAAUAAGCGGAGGAAAAGAAACUAACAAGGAUUCCCCUAGUAACGGCGAGUGAAGCGGGAAGAGCUCAAAUUUUAAAGCUCCGUGGUUUCCACGGCGCGUUGUAAACUGAAGAGGCGUUUUCUCAUGCGGCCCCGGUUUAAGUCUGUUGGAAAGCAGCAUCAUGGAGGGUGACAAUCCCGUAAAUGGCUGGGUGACCGUGUGUCUACGAUACGUCCUCAAAGAGUCGGGUUGUUUGGGAAUGCAGCCCAAAAUGGGUGGUAAAUUUCAUCUAAGGCUAAAUACUGCCACGAGACCGAUAGCGAACAAGUACCGUGAGGGAAAGAUGAAAAGAACUUUGAAAAGAG
Molecule: ribosomal RNA, 366 nt
Filed under: Climacostomum virens
Lineage: Eukaryota; Ciliophora; Heterotrichea; Heterotrichida; Climacostomidae
Description: partial Eukaryotic large subunit ribosomal RNA
Rfam family: Eukaryotic large subunit ribosomal RNA
Source: RNAcentral